UACGUAGGGUGCAAGCGUUAAUCGGAAUUACUGGGCGUAAAGCGUGCGCAGGCGGUUUUGUAAGUUUGUCGUGAAAUCCCCGGGCUCAACCUGGGAAUUGCGAUGAAGACUGCAAGGCUAGAAUCUGGCAGAGGGGGGUAGAAUUCCACGUGUAGCAGUGAAAUGCGUAGAGAUGUGGAGGAACACCGAUGGCGAAGGCGGCCCCCUGGGUCAAGAUUGACGCUCAUGCACGAAAGCGUGGGGAGCAAACAGG
Molecule: ribosomal RNA, 253 nt
Filed under: uncultured bacterium
Lineage: Bacteria
Description: partial 16S ribosomal RNA
Rfam family: Bacterial small subunit ribosomal RNA
Source: RNAcentral